UACGAAGGGUGCAAGCGUUACUCGGAAUUACUGGGCGUAAAGCGUGCGUAGGUGGUUUUUUAAGUCCGUUGUGAAAGCCCUGGGCUCAACCUGGGAAUGGCAGUGGAUACUGGAAAGCUAGAGUGCGGUAGAGGGUAGUGGAAUUCCCGGUGUAGCAGUGAAAUGCGUAGAUAUUAGGAGGAAUACCAGUUGCGAAGGCGGCUCUCUGGACUGUAACUGACACUGAGGCACGAAAGCGUGGGGAGCAAACAGG
This 253-nucleotide ribosomal RNA is filed under the name uncultured bacterium. RNAcentral describes it as "partial 16S ribosomal RNA". It matches the Rfam family "Bacterial small subunit ribosomal RNA", at positions 524 to 776 of the family's 1533-position model. The record is from RNAcentral.